UGUGUCUUCUUAGCUACUUAGCUAACGUUACUGGAGCUAACGUUACUCUUUUUGUUUUGCUUUUUUCCAUCCAACAUGUAAAAGAUGUUUAACUACAUGGGAUACAUUCGUUUAAUACAAACUUUAGCAAGCUAGCGCCACACUUUAGCUAUAAAGAUCAAACCAAAGAGGAGCUGGAGGACUGGAUGCUACAUCCCAAUGAGCAGAUGAAGAAGGUCAACAACAGAUGUUCUGACCUUGGUGUAGUGGAACUGCAGGGGGUCGUCAGUGGACAGCGACACACACAGGCCCUUCUGGAGGAACUCUCGUAGAGGGUUCUUGGAGUACUGCAGGAACAGGCUGUUGUUGCUCAGCGGGGACAUGGCGAUCGGGACCUGGGCCAGGUAGUACAGCGUGCACGUCCAGAGAGUCCACGGUGAGGUCGUAGGGGUCCAUCUUGAGGUUGCUGAAGACUUCCUUGAGCUUGAUCUUCUGACCGCCCUUCUCCAAGAUGACGCGAUCCGCCUCGGUCUGGCUGAGCUCUGCGUCAGAAAAGGCUGCUGGGCCCCAGUUGGUGAUCAGCUGCUGUCCCUUGGAACCUGGAGGAGAGAAAUGAUCAAGAGACUGUUCACCAUAGAGCUGCUCCGCUAUGACCGCACACUCGCCAACGUUUACGCCGGGCUUGCAAAACACUGGCGGUAAUCAAACAAAGUUUUAAUGAUAAUUAAAAUUUUAAAAGGUAAUACUAACCACCGGGAAUUUUACCGUGGUUUAUAGUGAAACUGUUAAUCGUUACAUCCCUAUAAAGUUCAUAGAAGUUGGUCUUUAUUACCUAUUUGAGCCUUCUUAAAUAUUCGUAUGACAAUUUCACACAAAUGUCUAACAGGAUAAAAUGAUGAAGUGAUGACAUUUUGGACAGACAUGAAUGUAAACUGCAACUUGAGUGGUUGGCAGAGGCAUACAACCACGAGGUAAUUCUAGUUUAGUAAUAUCUUUGUUGUCACAGAUAUAGUAGUUGAAAAUGGAUGCAAUGGAAGUACGGCCGUUAAAGCUAUUAAAAACACAUGUUAUUAAUGGAUGUAAAGGGGUUGAGCUGGCUGAGCGUGAUGGUAAAGCUACUCCUGUGGUGUAUGUAACACAUCUAUUCUAUCCAAUAGAAGUAUCAGGUUCAAAUCCUGAUGGGAGUUUCUGCCUUUAAAUGGUCAUUUCUGUAUUUUUCGACGCUGACCUUAUUUUCCCAUGUUUUUGUGUCUAAGUGACUAAAGGGAAAACAUUUUUAAAUUGGUCCAGUAUUGAGCCAGAGCGCUGUAACCGGCAGCCGUUAAACAGGCUCUUAUAGUGCAAAGUGCUUGUUUUUUUGCCACUGACAGAUUGUUAUUAGUGUCUGUAGGGUCAUUUCCAUAAUGUUGUCAAACACAUAAAUAACAACCUAAGCCUGUCAGUGGCAAAAACAAGCACUUUUAGUGAGCGUACAUUAGCGGCGGCGCUCUCCCUCAAUACUGGACCAAUUUCAAAAAGCGUUGUCCCCAUUAGUCACUUUGACACAAAAACAUGGGAAAAUAGGUUCCAAGUUGAAAUAUGCUGAAGAUAUCCUUUAACAACGCUUUUUGCCAGUGUUACUAUCUUAGGUCCUUUGAGGAGUAUAUUUAUAGUAAAUUUCGGCACAAGGUAGAGUACUUCCUCUCUCGCCAACCAGUAAAAAAAACACAGAACGUGCAGUGCUAACCGCAGAACCGAUGCGGUAUUACGGUUAUUGCGACAGCCCUAAAACUAAUUCUACCCGUAAUCCUAAAGUCAAGUCGUACCCCUCAACCAGUCACAAAGAUACAAGUACAAACAGUGUGUGUGUUGCCGUUACCUGGU
Molecule: long non-coding RNA, 1842 nt
Organism: Sebastes umbrosus (honeycomb rockfish)
Lineage: Eukaryota; Metazoa; Chordata; Actinopteri; Perciformes; Sebastidae
Exons: 5
Source: RefSeq, a predicted model, not a curated record